GAUGAAGAACGCAGCGAAAUGCGAUACGUAAUGUGAAUUGCAGAUUUUAGUGAAUCAUCGAAUCUUUGAACGCACAUUGCGCCCGCCAGUAUUCUGGCGGGCAUGCCUGUUCGAGCGUCAUUUCAACCAUCAAGCCUUCGCUUAUGUUGGGGCCCCGCGGCUGCCGCGGCCCCCUAAAUCCAGUGGCGGGCUCGUCGUCGUACCGAGCGCAGUAGACAUCCUCGCUCCGGGAACCCGACGGGUGCCGGCCGUGAAACCCCCCCCAUCAAGGUUGACCUCGGAUCAGGUAGGAAUACCCGCUGAACUUAAGCAUAUCAAUAAGCGGAGGA
This 329-nucleotide unclassified non-coding RNA is filed under the name soil metagenome. RNAcentral's name for it is "partial contains 5.8S ribosomal RNA, internal transcribed spacer 2, and large subunit ribosomal RNA". The stretch from base 1 to 120 matches the Rfam family "5.8S ribosomal RNA", at positions 35 to 154 of the family's 154-position model. The record is from RNAcentral.